UCGAGAAUUUUUCACAAUGGGCGAAAGCCUGAUGGAGCGACGCCGCGUGGGGGAUGAAUGGCUUCGGCCCGUAAACCCCUGUCAUUUGCGAUCAAACCUGCAGACCUAAUACGUCUGCAGCUGAUAGUAGCGAAAGAGGAAGGGACGGCUAACUCUGUGCCAGCAGCCGCGGUAAUACAGAGGUCCCAAGCGUUGUUCGGAUUCACUGGGCGUAAAGGGUGCGUAGGCGGUGGGGAAAGUUUGGUGUGAAAUCUUCGGGCCCAACCCGGAAACUGCACUAAAAACUUCCUCGCUCGAGGACUGGAGGGGAGACUGGAAUUCUCGGUGUAGCGGUGAAAUGCGUAGAUAUCGAGAGGAACACCUGUGGCGAAGGCGAGUCUCUGGACAGUUUCUGACGCUGAGGCACGAAAGCUAGGGGAGCAAACAG
This 427-nucleotide ribosomal RNA is filed under the name uncultured bacterium. Its description in RNAcentral is "bacterial SSU rRNA". It matches the Rfam family "Bacterial small subunit ribosomal RNA", at positions 355 to 775 of the family's 1533-position model. The record is from RNAcentral.